Solea senegalensis (Senegalese sole) is the source of this 3805-nucleotide RNA transcript. It is a transcript of the gene named KH domain containing, RNA binding, signal transduction associated 3, with no coding region annotated. NCBI's taxonomy places the organism in Eukaryota, Metazoa, Chordata, Actinopteri, Pleuronectiformes, Soleidae. The transcript has 11 exons. The record is from RefSeq and is a predicted model, not a curated record.
CGCAGCUUGAGGGGAGAGAAGCUUCCACCGAGAGAGAGAGAGAGAGCGAGCCGAGGAAUCCACGCUGCGCUGCGUGACUCUGCGGGUUCAAGCACGCGCUCAUGGGAUAAAAACCUCCCGCUCACAUUUGAGCACUUCCUCUCUCUCUCUGUGUGUGUGUGUGUGUGUGUGUGGCGCGCGCGCCGACCGUGUGCCUUCGCAUGUGUUUUCUGCGAGGACUGAGAAAUGAUUUUGCAGCGCGAGCGCGAACGAAACCUCCCCACGCCUCUGUGAUCCUCAUCCACGCGCGGCGGUGAUCUGACGUGGAUCCGUUUGGACGUUGACAAACUUUUGCGCGAGCGCGUGUGAGUGUUUUUUUUUUUUUUUCUUCAAUUGUUGUUGUUUACUUGGAGCCUGAGCAUCCAGGACGACAUGGAGGGCGAGAAGUACUUGCAGGAGCUCGUGGCAGAGAAGGACACGCUAGAUCCGCAUUUUCAGCACUCGCAGAGACUCCUGGACCAAGAGAUCGAAAAAGUCCAGAAAGACGACGACAAAGAGGAGGAGAAGUUCAUCGACGUCGUCAUCAACAAGAACAUGAAACUGGGCCAGAAAGUUUUAAUACCAGUCAAGCAGUUUCCUAAAUUCAACUUUGUCGGCAAACUCCUCGGGCCGCGUGGGAACUCGUUAAAGAGACUACAGGAGGACACUCUCACCAAGAUGUCAAUUCUGGGAAAAGGAUCCAUGAGAGACAAAGAAAAGGAAGAAGAGCUACGGCAGAGCGGCGAGGCCAAAUAUCACCACCUGAACGAGGACCUGCACGUCCUCAUUGAAGUGUUCGCCCCCCCGGCUGAGGCCUACGCCAGGAUGGGUCACGCUCUGGAGGAGAUCAAGAAGUUCCUCAUACCAGAUUACAACGAUGAGAUCAGACAGGCCCAGCUGCAGGAGCUCACGUACCUGAAUGGAGGCUCGGAGGACGCCAAGGUGCCAUCAGUGAGGGGCAAGUCAGUCACCCGUACAAGAGGGACACCUGUUCCUGGGCCUCCCAGGAGUCGAGGAGGAGUUCCUUCCCUGCACGCAGCAGUGCCACGAGGAGCAGCCCCCAGAGGAGCCCCACUCAGCCGGCCUCCGUCCUCCAGAGGGAGGGGGGUGCAGAGAGCCAGAGGUGCCCCACCAGCUGCAGGGUACCGGCCAGCUCCUCCCCUUGUCCAGGACACAUAUGGAGAAUAUGAAUACGACGACGGCUACGGAACAGCGUACGACGACCAAGGAUACGAGUCGUAUGACAACAACAACAACAACAACUACAGUAAUCAAGGACAAAACUCAGACGACUACUAUGAAUACGGACACAGUGGAGAAUCAUACGACGCAUAUGGUCAGGAGGAGUGGGCAAACAGUCGCGGCAAAGCACCGUCGGCACGGACGACCAAGGCGGCGUACAGGGAUCAGCCGUACUCCAGAUAUUGAACUGUUUAUACAACCUGCACAACCUGAGUCCCCCCCCCUCGUGGCGGUUUCAACCCAAGAUGAUAUCGCAGCUAAACUGGGCCAUGUGACCGAGGACCGCACUGGCGUAGAAGGCUCGAUGAACGACACACACCCCUCCGAACAUUCAAGCCCGUACAACGUCAAAGUGAAUCCACAAAAAAACGAGGCCCAUCAUCCAUUUUCAGACUUUCAGGUUCUCUGAACCCUGCUGGGUUUGGACGACACAUACAUCGCAAUAUACAUCUUCAGUUUUUUUCUCCUGAAGAAAUGGCCGGAAAGAGGAAAAGCACACGAGGCAAAUGGAGUUCCUCGUCCUCUGGGAGGGUCUGUCGGAGAACAUUUAUUUGAAAUGCCUCUAUAUACAUUUUACACACACACACACACACAGGAGAUUGUGUCUCUUUAUUCAGACUACCUCUUAUAUUAGACAUUAACUGUAGCCUGUAAUGGAAGAGGAGUGAAUAAAUGAUGAAAUAUGGUAAAGGUAGUGACACAUUAACCGAUAUAGAAUCCACUUCAGUUCAUUUGUCAUUCACCAUGUGCCUUAAAGUUGCAUUGUAAUGACAGGUUUGAAUGUUUAUGUCUGCGCGGUGGAGUUCAAAUCUGGAGCAGUUACACAAGCUGUUUAUUCCUCUUUCCUUUGAUGCUGCCGCGCGGCCACCGACAAAAAGCUUAUUCCAGAUGUAUCGCUUAAUCAGAAACGACUUCAGUGGAUAUUACAAUUCCAAAAUAGCUUUUCCUAUCGGAUAGAGAGCUUCCCGCGUCGGAUAGGCCGAGCCGCGUAUCCCACACCGUCACAUGUCCUUAGUGGCAGACAAUGGUUUUCCAUUAGAGGGGAGUGAUUCUCUCUGGAGCCUCAGGCCAAGCCUCAGACAAUAACAUGGCAGCCCCGGAGCUCGCCGAGUUGACUCUCAACGCCCUCGGGGGCUGAUUCUCCCUCUGAAGUGGCUUAUAACGACAGGCUUAUCUGAGCCAUGCUUGUCCGAGUUAAUAAAGCAAGAGCGGCUUAUUUGAUUAAGAAUGCAUACAAAGGGAGGACGUAGUAGUCGUCUGUCACCACGAGACAACUCCAUUUCAACACUCGACUUCAGAGAGAGCGCGAGGGACUUUACGUUUAACCAGGAAUAAAAUAAUAAGAAAUAACGUUACGUUCAGUGCCAAGUAGGGCUGUCAAUCUUCCCCUAUAAUCGAAUUCCAGUUCCAUUCCUUAUUAUUUUUAAUAUUUGAAUUACAUUCAAGUUUUUAAUUUGAAAUUUGAAUACAUUGAACAAGCAGGGACACUGGCGGCCUGCAGGUGCCUCUCGCCGGUGUUAAUAGAAUUAGCCACGUUGUCUGUGGUGAUGAUGAGGAACUCUGACUCACGCUCUACUCUCCCGAGUUUGUCGCCGCUGCAUGUGGCAACGUGUUCGGCCGUGUUGAGAAUUCUAUCUUUCAGCUCCCACUCCACGGCUAAGAUCCGUGUGCCUCGGCUCAAGCUCUUGGAUGAGGUCUCUGGGAGAUGUUCAUCGGUCUCAUGUCUUUGUAAAUAAAGCGCACCGGUUUGUCUGUGACAGCAUUCUGACGAGCAGCUGUGAACCCCGCGUGAGAUUGUUGUGAUUCACAAAACUUUAUUGUUCCGUGAGGGUCGUACGUGACCACAGGAGGUAUUAGAAAGAGGGCGGGGCUUCCGUCGCCACGCUUUAACACGUGUAUAAAGAAAUAGUCAUUACAGCAUUUGAUUAUUAUUGAUUUUUCUAAUAUUUGAAUAACAUUUGACUACAAUACAUACGUUUUAACAACUUUGAAUAUUUCAAAUGUGAAAAACUGCUUUAAAAUAUGGUGCAGUCUCCAUGCAUCAGUGAGAGCUUUUAAAUGAAGAUGCAAUGAGAGUUAAGCAUAUUUUGGUCGACUCAUAUCAUAAUUGUUUUCUGGUUUUUAUUUUAAAGUGGAUUUGUGUUUCUCUUCCUGAUUCAUGCUCAGGAUUGUUCUGUAAUUAACUGGAGCGCUCUAAGUCUUAAUACUGAGAUUAAAACAGCUUCAGAUUGUGUGACCCCUCCUUAGUGGAGCGCUCACAUUGUGACGGAUGGAUUAUUGCAGGACUGUGAGUGAACUAUGGUGAAUAUUGUAAUAGCAAUAACACUGAAACGAUGUUCCAUCGCCGCUGUGUCGCUGACCGAUGGACAUCAAAUAAAAUACAAGCACGUGGCCACAGCAGGUGCACAUACGGGGAACAACAACAUCUGCACAGUGUCUGUCCGUCAAUACGUCCCAUACACUGUUAUGUGUUCAACUCACUGACUCUGUAAGUAAAUACAUGUCUGUGUAAUAAAGUCUGGUCAAAAAUAAAAGUGAGAACGUG